CCUACGGGAGGCAGCAGUAGGGAAUCUUUCACAAUGGGCGAAAGCCUGAUGGAGCAACGCCGCGUGCAGGAUGAAGGCCUUCGGGUUGUAAACUGCUUUUAUAAGCGAGAAAUAUGAUGGUAACUUAUGAAUAAGGAUCGGCUAACUACGUGCCAGCAGCCGCGGUCAUACGUAGGAUCCGAGCAUUAUCCGGAGUGACUGGGUGUAAAGAGUUGCGUAGGUGGCAUAAUAAGUAGCUAGUGAAAUCUGGUGGCUCAACCAUUCAGACUAUUAGCUAAAAUGUUAAGCUCGAGACCGUUAGGGGUAACUGGAAUGUCUAGUGUAGGAGUGAAAUCCGUAGAUAUUAGAAGGAACACCAAUAGCGUAGGCAGGUUGCUGGGACGGUUCUGACACUAAGGCACGAAAGCGUAGGGAGCAAACGGGAUUAGAUACCCUUGUAGUC
RNAcentral lists this ribosomal RNA (442 nucleotides) under uncultured bacterium. RNAcentral's name for it is "partial 16S ribosomal RNA". It matches the Rfam family "Bacterial small subunit ribosomal RNA", at positions 338 to 795 of the family's 1533-position model. The record is from RNAcentral.